GACGUAGGGUGCAAGCGUUAAUCGGAAUUACUGGGCGUAAAGCGUGCGCAGGCGGUUUUGUAAGACAGAGGUGAAAUCCCCGGGCUCAACCUGGGAACUGCCUUUGUGACUGCAAGGCUUGAGUGCGGCAGAGGGGGAUGGAAUUCCGCGUGUAGCAGUGAAAUGCGUAGAUAUGCGGAGGAACACCGAUGGCGAAGGCAAUCCCCUGGGCCUGCACUGACGCUCAUGCACGAAAGCGUGGGGAGCAAACAGG
Molecule: ribosomal RNA, 253 nt
Filed under: uncultured bacterium
Lineage: Bacteria
Description: partial 16S ribosomal RNA
Rfam family: Bacterial small subunit ribosomal RNA
Source: RNAcentral